This 119-nucleotide ribosomal RNA is filed under the name Pteropus alecto (black flying fox). The record is from RNAcentral. Lineage: Eukaryota; Metazoa; Chordata; Mammalia; Chiroptera; Pteropodidae.
GUCUACAGCCACGCCACCCCAAACAAGCCAGAUCCUGUCUGAUCUCGGAAGCUAAGCAGAGUCGGGCCUGGUUAGUACUUGGUUGGGGGAUCACCUAGGAAGACCAGGUGCUGUAGACG